AUUGAACGCUGGCGGCAGGCUUAACACAUGCAAGUCGAGCGGGGGAAGGUAGCUUGCUACCGGACCUAGCGGCGGACGGGUGAGUAAUGCUUAGGAAUCUGCCUAUUAGUGGGGGACAACAUCUCGAAAGGGAUGCUAAUACCGCAUACGUCCUACGGGAGAAAGCAGGGGAUCUUCGGACCUUGCGCUAAUAGAUGAGCCUAAGUCGGAUUAGCUAGUUGGUGGGGUAAAGGCCUGCCAAGGCGACGAUCUGUAGCGGGUCUGAGAGGAUGAUCCGCCAAACUGGGACUGAGACACGGCCCAGACUGCUACGGGAGGCAGCAGUGGGGAAUAUUGGACGAUGGGGGGAACCCUGAUCCAGCCAUGCCGCGUGGGUGAAGAAGGCCUUAUGGUUGUAAAGCACUUUAAGCGAGGAGGAGGCUACUUUAGUUAAUACCUAGAGAUAGUGGACGUUACUCGCAGAAUAAGCACCGGCUAACUCUGAGCCAGCCGCCGCCGUAA
RNAcentral lists this ribosomal RNA (501 nucleotides) under uncultured bacterium. Its description in RNAcentral is "partial 16S ribosomal RNA". It matches the Rfam family "Bacterial small subunit ribosomal RNA", at positions 30 to 523 of the family's 1533-position model. The record is from RNAcentral.